Molecule: long non-coding RNA, 1241 nt
Filed under: Sus scrofa (pig)
Lineage: Eukaryota; Metazoa; Chordata; Mammalia; Artiodactyla; Suidae
Description: lncRNA (ENSSSCG00070007834.1)
Source: RNAcentral
CCCGUCGUUACUCAAAACCGAGGUCCUUUAAACUGGAUGACUAGUUCCUUGGGAAGGAAGGAGACUCUCACUGGAUUAGUGAAUAACAAUGAUGACUAAGGGCAGAUCUCCAUACGACCUUUCUCUAGAAGGCUCCCUCCUCCAUGUUUAUAAGAUCCAUCUACCAAAGCUAAUGCUUGCCAUCAGAGAGCCUGGUUUAAUUAAACUGUGGUUCCAGACAAAAUGGAGUAGGAAGCAGUAGAACCCUGCUGCAGCUGCAACAACUUUAACAAGGGGACUAAACCUCUGAAAUUACGUUCUCAAAGACAUCAGAAAAUGGUGGAAGCAGACACGACUAAAUGAAAUCAACCAGAGGCAAGAGAGCCCUACCCAAAUGAGUGGGCGGCCACUGGCUGCUUUCUGCCCUGGGGAUGUUUGCCAAUUCCAAGUGCAAGAUGAGGCUCGAGCUUGGCCUGAGUACAAGGAUGUUAGUGUGAGAAAAAACACUGCCAGAGUUUUGGGAGGUUGUGUGGAGCUGGGAUGACAAUUUGAAAACUUCCGGAGCCCUAAAUAGGCAAAGUCCCUUUCCCUCUGUGGUUCAUUUACUGAGUCAAGGGGCACUUGGAAGGUUAAGGAACUCCUCUAAAACAGCAGACUGAAAUACACUGUGGUCCUACAGAAGUGGGGAGACAGAGUCCACCUCCUGGAGGAGCAUCUGCUGCAAGCCUAGGGCCAGUCUCCUCCUUAAGAUAGUUACCAAAUUUAGAAAAACGUGGGAUCUGGAGACUAGAGGGCAAAAUUCAAAACUGUCAAAAGGCAUAUCACCUGCCCUGGGGGCUCUGUGGGUGGAAAUGAAAGAGGCAAGACCUGAGAGUCUAGCAGUCAAAAUCCACAGAAAGAUCUUCUCAACUCUGAAACAUUUGAAACAAGUGAUAGACUCAGUUUGACUAAAUCCCUAUCCUUGAUUAAAUCAUCAAAGAGCAAAUCCUUUCCGGAUCAAAAGGUAAUACGAACUUCAGUCUCUAUACAGUUUCAUUGUGUUCUUUUAUGCACAGUGUCUAGCAUAAACUAGAAAAUUAUAAGAUAUGAGAAGAGGAGGGGGGAGCCUUUUGAAGCAGAGAGAUGACCUACAUGUUGAAAUUAGCAGGCAACCUUUUUAAAUAAUUGUUAUUAAUAAUGUUAAAAAAUAAGGGGAAAGGUGAACAAACUAUUAAAAUAUGGAGACUUUCAAUAGAGAAUUGAAAUUAUAGGAGUUCCCAUUG